CCUACGGGUGGCAGCAGUGGGGAAUAUUGGGCAAUGGGCGCAAGCCUGACCCAGCAACGCCGCGUGAAGGAAGAAGGCUUUCGGGUUGUAAACUUCUUUUCUCAGGGACGAAGCAAGUGACGGUACCUGAGGAAUAAGCCACGGCUAACUACGUGCCAGCAGCAGCGGUAAUACGUAGGUGGCAAGCGUUAUCCGGAUUUACUGGGUGUAAAGGGCGUGUAGGCGGGAAAGCAAGUCAGAUGUGAAAACCAUGGGCUCAACCUGUGGCCUGCAUUUGAAACUGUUUUUCUUGAGUACUGGGGAGGCAGGCGGAAUUCCUGGUGUAGCGGUGAAAUGCGUAGAUAUUAGGAGGAACACCAGUUGCGAAGGCGGUCUGCUGGACAGCAACUGACGCUGAGGCGCGAAAGCGUGGGGAUCAAACAGGAUUAGAUACCCCAGUAGUC
RNAcentral lists this ribosomal RNA (443 nucleotides) under uncultured bacterium. Its description in RNAcentral is "partial 16S ribosomal RNA". It matches the Rfam family "Bacterial small subunit ribosomal RNA", at positions 338 to 795 of the family's 1533-position model. The record is from RNAcentral.